Molecule: ribosomal RNA, 419 nt
Filed under: uncultured Sphingobacterium sp.
Lineage: Bacteria; Pseudomonadati; Bacteroidota; Sphingobacteriia; Sphingobacteriales; Sphingobacteriaceae
Description: bacterial SSU rRNA
Rfam family: Bacterial small subunit ribosomal RNA
Source: RNAcentral
GAGUUUGAUCAUGGCUCAGGAUUAACGCUAGCGGCAGGCCUAAUACAUGCAAGUUGAACGGGAUUUCGGGUAGCAAUAUUUGAAUGAGAGUAGCGCACGGGUGCGUAACACGUAUGCAACCUACCUAUAACUGGGGGAUAGCCUCCCGAAAGGGAGAUUAAUACCGCAUAAUAUUAUUGAGUGGCAUCACUUGAUAAUUAAACCUCAGGGGGUUAUAGAUGGGCAUGCGUCCGAUUAGCUAGUUGGUGAGGUAAUGGCUCACCAAGGCUACGAUCGGUAGGGGUCUGAGAGGAUGAUCCCCCACACUGGUACUGAGACACGGCCCAGACUCCUACGGGAGGCAGCAGUGGGGAAUUUUGGACAAUGGGGGCAACCCUGAUCCAGCCAUGCCGCGUGUGUGAAGAAGGCCUCGGUUGUAA